AGGGAAUCUUCGGCAAUGGACGAAAGUCUGACCGAGCAACGCCGCGUGAGUGAAGAAGGUUUUCGGAUCGUAAAACUCUGUUGGUAGAGAAGAACGUUGGUGAGAGUGGAAAGCUCAUCAAGUGACGGUAACUACCCAGAAAGGGACGGCUAACUACGUGCCAGCAGCCGCGGUAAUACGUAGGUCCCGAGCGUUGUCCGGAUUUAUUGGGCGUAAAGCGAGCGCAGGUGGUUUAUUAAGUCUGGUGUAAAAGGCAGUGGCUCAACCAUUGUAUGCAUUGGAAACUGGUAGACUUGAGUGCAGGAGAGGAGAGUGGAAUUCCAUGUGUAGCGGUGAAAUGCGUAGAUAUAUGGAGGAACACCGGUGGCGAAAAGCGGCUCUCUGGCCUGUAACUGACACUGAGGCUCGAAAGCGUGGGGAGCAAACAGGAUUAGAUAGCCC
This 441-nucleotide ribosomal RNA is filed under the name uncultured bacterium. Its description in RNAcentral is "partial 16S ribosomal RNA". It matches the Rfam family "Bacterial small subunit ribosomal RNA", at positions 356 to 788 of the family's 1533-position model. The record is from RNAcentral.